AGCGAACGCUGGCGGCAGGCCUAACACAUGCAAGUCGAACGAACCUUUCGGGGUUAGUGGCGGACGGGUGAGUAACACGUGGGAACGUGCCUUUAGGUUCGGAAUAACUCAGGGAAACUUGUGCUAAUACCGAAUGUGCCCUUCGGGGGAAAGAUUUAUCGCCUUUAGAGCGGCCCGCGUCUGAUUAGCUAGUUGGUUGAGGUAAUGGCUCACCAAGGCGACGAUCAGUAGCUGGUCUGAGAGGAUGAUCAGCCACAUUGGGACUGAGACACGGCCCAAACUCCUACGGGAGGCAGCAGUGGGGAAUGUUGCGCAAUGGGCGAAAGCCUGACGCAGCCAUGCCGCGUGAAUGAUGAAGGUCUUAGGAUUGUAAAAUUCUUUCACCGGGGACGAUAAUGACGGUACCCGGAGAAGAAGCCCCGGCUAACUUCGUG
Molecule: ribosomal RNA, 434 nt
Filed under: uncultured bacterium
Lineage: Bacteria
Description: partial 16S ribosomal RNA
Rfam family: Bacterial small subunit ribosomal RNA
Source: RNAcentral